Molecule: ribosomal RNA, 434 nt
Filed under: uncultured bacterium
Lineage: Bacteria
Description: bacterial SSU rRNA
Rfam family: Bacterial small subunit ribosomal RNA
Source: RNAcentral
GAACGCGAAGAACCUUACCUGGUCUUGACAUGUACGGAAUCCUCCAGAGACGGAGGAGUGCCUUCGGGAGCCGUAACACAGGUGCUGCAUGGCUGUCGUCAGCUCGUGUCGUGAGAUGUUGGGUUAAGUCCCGCAACGAGCGCAACCCUUGUCAUUAGUUGCCAUCAUUAAGUUGGGCACUCUAAUGAGACUGCCGGUGACAAGCCGGAGGAAGGUGGGGAUGACGUCAAGUCCUCAUGGCCCUUAUGACCAGGGCUUCACACGUCAUACAAUGGUCGGUACAGAGGGUAGCCAAGCCGCGAGGUGGAGCCAAUCUCACUAAAACCGAUCGUAGUCCGGAUUGCACUCUGCAACUCGAGUGCAUGAAGUCGGAAUCGCUAGUAAUCGCAGGUCAGCAUACUGCGGUGAAUACGUUCCCGGGUCUUGUACACACC